This 314-nucleotide unclassified non-coding RNA is filed under the name plant metagenome. Its description in RNAcentral is "partial contains 5.8S ribosomal RNA, internal transcribed spacer 2, and large subunit ribosomal RNA". The stretch from base 1 to 105 matches the Rfam family "5.8S ribosomal RNA", at positions 50 to 154 of the family's 154-position model. The record is from RNAcentral.
GAAAUGCGAUAAUUAAUGUGAAUUGUAGAAUUCAGUGAAUCAUCGAGUCUUUGAACGCACAUUGCGCCCCCUGGUAUUCCGGGGGGCAUGCCUGUCCGAGCGUCAUUGCUGCCCUCAAGCACGGCUUGUGUGUUGGGCUUCCGUCCCUGGCAACGGGGACGGGCCCAAAAGGCAGUGGCGGCACCAUGUCUGGUCCUCGAGCGUAUGGGGCUUUGUCACCCGCUCCCGUAGGUCCAGCUGGCAGCUAGCCUCGCAACCAAUCUUUUUAACCAGGUUGACCUCGGAUCAGGUAGGGAUACCCGCUGAACUUAAGC